GAUGAACGCUGGCGGCGUGCCUAACACAUGCAAGUCGAGCGAGGAAUGACAGGUAGCUUGCUACCGGUUAUUUCUAGCGGCGGGCGGGUGAGUAACGCGUGAGCAACCUGCCUUUAUCAGGGGGAUAACGCAUCGAAAGAUGUGCUAAUACCGCGUAAGACCACAGCUUCACAUGGAGCAGGGGUCAAAGGAGCAAUCCGGAUAAAGAUGGGCUCGCGUCCGAUUAGCUAGUUGGUGAGAUAACAGCCCACCAAAGCGACGAUCGGUAGCCGACCUAAGAGGGUGAUCGGCCACAUUGGAACUGAGAUACGGUCCAGACUCCUACGGGAGGCAGCAGUAGGGAAUCUUCCACAAUGGACGAAAGUCUGAUGGAGCAACGCCGCGUGAGUGAUGAAGGUUUUCGGAUCGUAAAACUCUGUUGUAAGGGAAGAACACGUACGAGAGGGAAUGCUCGUACCUUGACGGUACCUUACGAGAAAGCCACGGCUAACUACGUGCCAGCAGCCGCAGUAA
Molecule: ribosomal RNA, 513 nt
Filed under: uncultured bacterium
Lineage: Bacteria
Description: partial 16S ribosomal RNA
Rfam family: Bacterial small subunit ribosomal RNA
Source: RNAcentral